UGAAAAUACAUAUCCACCAAAAAAAAAAAGAAGAGACCUCCUCAUCAUAGACCCCUGUAGCAGUGAUGGAUGCAAAUACCCUUUACAUCGGAACAGCAGCUAUAGUUGUAGCCA
Molecule: non-coding RNA, 114 nt
Filed under: Heterosigma akashiwo
Lineage: Eukaryota; Raphidophyceae; Chattonellales; Chattonellaceae
Source: RNAcentral